RNAcentral lists this ribosomal RNA (1318 nucleotides) under Salmonella enterica. RNAcentral describes it as "partial 23S ribosomal RNA". It matches the Rfam family "Bacterial large subunit ribosomal RNA", at positions 711 to 1925 of the family's 2925-position model. RNAcentral also lists the same sequence under 1 other name. Lineage: Bacteria; Pseudomonadati; Pseudomonadota; Gammaproteobacteria; Enterobacterales; Enterobacteriaceae. The record is from RNAcentral.
AGACCCGAAACCCGGUGAUCUAGCCAUGGGCAGGUUGAAGGUUGGGUAACACUAACUGGAGGACCGAACCGACUAAUGUUGAAAAAUUAGCGGAUGACCUGUGGCUGGGGGUGAAAGGCCAAUCAAACCGGGAGAUAGCUGGUUCUCCCCGAAAGCUAUUUAGGUAGCGCCUCGUGAAUUCAUCUCCGGGGGUAGAGCACUGUUUCGGCUAGGGGGCCAUCCCGGCUUACCAACCCGAUGCAAACUGCGAAUACCGGAGAAUGUUAUCACGGGAGACACACGGCGGGUGCUAACGUCCGUCGUGAAGAGGGAAACAACCCAGACCGCCAGCUAAGGUCCCAAAGUCAUGGUUAAGUGGGAAACGAUGUGGGAAGGCCCAGACAGCCAGGAUGUUGGCUUAGAAGCAGCCAUCAUUUAAAGAAAGCGUAAUAGCUCACUGGUCGAGUCGGCCUGCGCGGAAGAUGUAACGGGGCUAAACCAUGCACCGAAGCUGCGGCAGCGAACGUAUCACCCAAGACAACUUUACGGAGUUGACGAUUGACGGAGCGAAGCGACGUCAAAGCGUUCAUUAAAGUCGAGUUGGCUUAGGGAUACGUUCGUUGGGUAGGGGAGCGUUCUGUAAGCCUGUGAAGGUGUGUCGUGAGGCAUGCUGGAGGUAUCAGAAGUGCGAAUGCUGACAUAAGUAACGAUAAAGCGGGUGAAAAGCCCGCUCGCCGGAAGACCAAGGGUUCCUGUCCAACGUUAAUCGGGGCAGGGUGAGUCGACCCCUAAGGCGAGGCCGAAAGGCGUAGUCGAUGGGAAACGGGUUAAUAUUCCCGUACUUGGUGUUACUGCGAAGGGGGGACGGAGAAGGCUAUGUUGGCCGGGCGACGGUUGUCCCGGUUUAAGCGUGUAGGUGUGUGUUCCAGGUAAAUCCGGUUCACUUUAACACUGAGGCGUGACGACGAGGCACUACGGUGCUGAAGCAACAAAUGCCCUGCUUCCAGGAAAAGCCUCUAAGCAUCAGGUAACACGAAAUCGUACCCCAAACCGACACAGGUGGUCAGGUAGAGAAUACCAAGGCGCUUGAGAGAACUCGGGUGAAGGAACUAGGCAAAAUGGUGCCGUAACUUCGGGAGAAGGCACGCUGACACGUAGGUGAAGUGAUUUACUCAUGGAGCUGAAGUCAGUCGAAGAUACCAGCUGGCUGCAACUGUUUAUUAAAAACACAGCACUGUGCAAACACGAAAGUGGACGUAUACGGUGUGACGCCUGCCCGGUGCCGGAAGGUUAAUUGAUGGGGUCAGCGUAAGCGAAGCUCCUGAUCGAAGCCCCGGUA